GCUCGAAAAUGUGUUAUCUUUCACAGUUCUAUCAACCAGAGAUUUACCCCAAUGCUGCCAGUGGCUUGCGGGUAACAAGAAUGAUGCUUAUGGUGACCAAAGAUUAUCAGAGGGAUUUUCAGGCUGAACUGAUGGGGAAUCCAUUUCAAUGACAGCCAGUUUAAUGCUAUUUUUUCCUUCACAACAAAACAGAAGAGUCUUGAUUUGAGAUGAUACAGAACCUGAUUCCACCAACAUGCGCUUCCAACCCAUAGCUCUGCACAAGGUGAAGAUUCUCAACAAAAAAAAUACAAAGAUGUCUUCAAAAAUCCUCUGAUUUGUCAAAGUCAACAGGCUGGGGAGCUGGAUUCGCUUCAAAGUGCACCAAAUUUGCAUGAUUCGAUGUGAGGAAUCCUGGGAUUACAGAAAACACAAUUUCCACCCCCCGUUCACUGUG
This is a long non-coding RNA of Salmo salar (Atlantic salmon), 436 nucleotides long. RefSeq lists it as uncharacterized. NCBI's taxonomy places the organism in Eukaryota, Metazoa, Chordata, Actinopteri, Salmoniformes, Salmonidae. The record is from RefSeq and is a predicted model, not a curated record.